GAUCCCCCCGUCUCCUCGCCGCCACCGCCCCCUCCCGAUCUAGUCCUCCCUCCCACCGCCGACCUCAACCAAGGACGACGGAGAUCCAAUCCUCUCCCCGCGCGGAAACCCUUCCUCCUACCCAGCGCCGACCUCGUCGUCCUCCUCACCCACCGCCUACCUCGUCCCUCCGUCCCCUCACCAUGUCUCCCUACCCUCCGCCCUCUGCCCCCUGCCUCGAUCCCCCAGAUCCAAUCGACACAACCCCGCUGCCCCAGCACCCCGUACUGUCCACCAUGGCCGCCUCCUCCUCCUCCCCGCACCAACCCACCACCCCGUCAUGGGGGUGCGUCCGUGGCGGCUACCCUUCCAUGCCGUCUCCGUCCGCCCCUGCCGCUCCGCGGUCUCCUCCGAAUCCGCAUCCUCCCCGCAGCAGGCGCCGACACCGGUUGGCGGCGACGACGCCAACGGGCCCACCGGCGUGCCCGUGCCCUUCUCCCGUGCCCUCCCAGGCGGCGGCGGCAGUUGGGUGAGCGGUGGAGGAUGUGCGUCCGGCGCUAAACGAGCACGCUGACAUGGUGGCGGAGCUCUUCGGCCGCGUCUCCACGGAGCUCCGCGGCGGGUUCGGCCCCGUCGUCGACUCCUUCGUCGGCUUCUUCCACGCCGUCGACUAGAUGGGCCGCUGAUGAGCGCGGACCAUCGAGAUCAAGGCCGCCGAGACAAUUCAGGGCGAGACGAUGCUGACCUGGGACGUGACGAUGCUGUGGUGGGACAUGAUGUACACGGAGGAGUUCGUGCCGGCCGAUGAGGGCGCCUACACCAUUGUGGAGGAGCACGCCUAGGAGAAGAAGGAGCACUCCCAGGAGAAGCUCUGCCUCUACAGCCUCUACAAGCAGGCCACCGUUGGCCCCGUCAACACCGUGGUAAGCCCUGUCUCAUCAUUUUGAAGGUCUACAAAAGUUCAGGCUGCAUGCAGCUAAUGCCAGCAGUUCCAGAAUGGAAAAUAUUUGGCACUUGGCAGGCGAAAAGAUAGUUUCUCCUGGAGCUAAGAGAGGGCUAAUUCCACUUGUUUGGAAGAGAAUACGAUGAAGCAUGGUGGUUAUCUAUCAAUCUGCCUUGUGUUUUGGUUGUACUUUGUACCUAGUUAUAUUGUAUUCUGUAGUAGUUAGCACAUUCUGGAGCAGAAUCCAGUGAAGUUGUAAAACUGUAAUAGUUUUGUUUCAUUUGAAAUAUUUGUCAUUUGUGUACUAUGAGAAAUGUGAGAAAUGGAAAGCUGAUGAGUUGGACUAA
Triticum aestivum (bread wheat) is the source of this 1269-nucleotide long non-coding RNA. RefSeq lists it as uncharacterized. The record is from RefSeq and is a predicted model, not a curated record. NCBI's taxonomy places the organism in Eukaryota, Viridiplantae, Streptophyta, Magnoliopsida, Poales, Poaceae. The transcript has 5 exons.